This 500-nucleotide ribosomal RNA is filed under the name uncultured bacterium. RNAcentral describes it as "bacterial SSU rRNA". It matches the Rfam family "Bacterial small subunit ribosomal RNA", at positions 15 to 518 of the family's 1533-position model. The record is from RNAcentral.
GAUCCUGGCUCAGGAUGAACGCUGGCGGCGUGCUUAACACAUGCAAGUCGAACGGAGUUUUAAACGGAAGUCCUCGGAUGGAAGUUAGAACUUAGUGGCGGACGGGUGAGUAACGCGUGGGUAACCUGCCUCAUACAGGGGGAUAACAGUCGGAAACGAUUGCUAAAACCGCAUAACAUAGCGAAACCGCAUGAUUUUGCUAUCAAAUAUUUAUAGGUAUGAGAUGGGCCCGCGUCUGAUUAGCUAGUUGGUGGGGUAAUGGCCUACCAAGGCGACGAUCAGUAGCCGGCUUGAGAGAGUGACCGGCCACAUUGGGACUGAGACACGGCCCAAACUCCUACGGGAGGCAGCAGUGGGGAAUAUUGGACAAUGGGGGAAACCCUGAUCCAGCGACGCCCGCGUGAGUGAAGAAGUAUUUCGGUAUGUAAAGCUCUAUCAGCAGGGAAGAUAAUGACAGUACCUGACUAAGAAGCCCCGGCUAACUACGUGCCAGCAGCAGC